Molecule: non-coding RNA, 845 nt
Organism: Camellia sinensis
Lineage: Eukaryota; Viridiplantae; Streptophyta; Magnoliopsida; Ericales; Theaceae
Source: RefSeq, a predicted model, not a curated record
UCAUAGUCCGUCAAUGGGUUACAUUGAGCCUAUGGAGUUUGCUAGUUUAGGGUUGCUCGCAAUUGCAUUCAUUAGCAUAUCUUCACCACAUGAUGAGAUGAGGAAAUUGGGUUAUGAGGCUCUUGGAAGAUUCAAGACUGCAUUAGAGAGGUGUCAAAAGAGGGAGGGUUUAGUGCGACUUCGGCUUUUGUUGACGUAUUUGCAAAAUGGUAUAGAAGAUCCUUGGCAGAGGAUUCCUUCUAUCAUUGCUAUGUUUGUUGCAGAGGCUUCUUUCAUAUUACUGGACUCUUCACCUGAUCAUUAUUUAACCAUAAGUAACUUUUUGUUGCGCUCUCCGAGGGUGAAUGUGAAGGUAUCUGCUUUCUGACUGCAAGGAAUCAGAUUAUGCUAUUUUCAUUUAGUUUAGCAGUUGGCCUUAUAAGUGUAUACCAUUAUUUGAAACUUUUUUUUGGAGCAACACUGUGAAGUUUAGGACACUCAGACUUUGGAUACUUCGUCUCUUGUAUGCUGGGCUAAAUUCAGAUGAUGAUGCUCAAAUAUAUAUCAGGAACAACAUCCUUGAGAUUCUACUGGCUUUUUAUGCCUCUCCGCUUUCGGAUUAUGAGUCAAAGGAAUUGAUCCUUCAGAUAUGUGCAUGGAGAUGUAAAGCCUGUGAACUUUUUGCUUGGUCCGCCAGGGACACCUGAUGAGAAAAAACUGUUCCUUGUUGACCUUGGAUUGGCAACUAGGUGGCAUGAUGGUUCUACUGGUCUACAUGUUGAUUAUGAUCAACGGCCAGAUGUUUUUAGGUACCCAGUAUUUACAGCAAUCCUAUAAAGUGAGCGGGUCAUUUCCAUUCAAGUGGA